This 433-nucleotide ribosomal RNA is filed under the name uncultured bacterium. RNAcentral's name for it is "partial 16S ribosomal RNA". It matches the Rfam family "Bacterial small subunit ribosomal RNA", at positions 29 to 507 of the family's 1533-position model. The record is from RNAcentral.
AACGAACGCUGGCGGUAGGCCUAACACAUGCAAGUCGAGCGAGGACUUCGGUUCUAGCGGCGGACGGGUGAGUAACGCGUGGGAAUGUGCCCUUCUCUACGGAAUAGCCCUGGGAAACUGGGAGUAAUACCGUAUACGCUCUACUGGGGAAAGAUUUAUCGGAGAAGGAUCAGCCCGCGUUGGAUUAGGUAGUUGGUGGGGUAAUGGCCUACCAAGCCGACGAUCCAUAGCUGGUUUGAGAGGAUGAUCAGCCACACUGGGACUGAGAUACGGCCCAGACUCCUGCGGGAGGCAGCAGUGGGGGAUCUUAGACAAUGGGGGCAACCCUGAUCGAGCCAUGCCGCGUGAGUGAUGAAGGCCUUAGAGUUGUAAAGCUCUUUCAGCUGGGAAGAUAAUGACGGUACCAGCAGAAGAAGCCCCGGCUAACUCCGUG